Molecule: non-coding RNA, 2270 nt
Organism: Triticum urartu
Lineage: Eukaryota; Viridiplantae; Streptophyta; Magnoliopsida; Poales; Poaceae
Source: RefSeq, a predicted model, not a curated record
UGCAAAAUUGUAUCAUUACCGAUGUAAGAUUACCUUGACGCUGGGAGGAGCCAGCCCACUCGUAGAUGCCUUCGCUAAUUAGGUGCUCACCUGCGAGCGGUUUCCACUUUGAACAAGAAGGGCGCGGUGAGCAGUGGGGCUCGACGGCGUGAUGCUCGGCAGAGAUUUUUGUCGCCCUGUCCUCCUCUCCCCUGUACACUUGGCGAUUAGAAGGUGACAGAGGCGGCGGCUGUGGACCCCGUGGUGAAGGGGCGGAGGGGACGACAAUUUGGGGUGCGGCUGCGCUGGCCACUGCAAAUCCAGCCCUGCUCUAUCGGAGAAGGCGCCACCAACAAGAAGACGGCGGUGACUGCCCUCCUCCGUAUGCUGCAAAGGAACUGCUGACGAGGGAGAUUAGAAGAAGCUGGACGGCAAUGGGCUUUUUAUCAAAGAAGAAGAGAAGUAGCACAAGGCUCCUGAGGAGGAGGGGUUAUCUUCUUUGAUCAAGCCAAGGGUGCUACCUCUGUCUCUUCUCUGUUUUAGAUUAAUAGUCCCUUCCUUUCUUUGAGCUCCACUGUUUUUGGAUGAACGGGACUAGCCCCUCUUUUAAUCAAUUAAUUUCUCAUGGAAAUAAGAUAAAGUGAAAUUUAAUUGGAGGGUGCAUAAUUAGCUCUUUUUUCUUUCUGAUGGAGGUUGCAUCAUUUUUUGAGGCGAGAAUCCCUAGUCCAGUGUUGGCUCUCUACUUGCCAUAGGCGAGAAAGAAAUUAAGUAGGGUUAAUUAAGCAUGAUAACAUGUCUACCUGUAUAUUUAAUUAAACAUGAUGGGGUGCUUACUUAUAAUUUGUAGCUAUUAGGUUGGAUCAUGAUUUACUCAUUUAGUUGUUGUACUUUGCUAGUUUCUCACUGCUCAUUUGAUAACAAGAGAAAAUUAAACUCCAUGUAUAUGUAUCAAAAGAUACAGAAACAUUAAUGCUCCACAAUUUAUAGACAAAUAUGCAUGUGAGUGCCUGAAUGCUUGAUGCUUCUUUUUGAGACCGGCAAAAGCUAGCUAGCAUAUAUAUAGUAUAAAAGGGUCAUAUAAUCUAUAACAAAAGGAAGGCAUGAUGAUUAGUGUCUUUCUUUAAUUGAUACUAAUAAAUUCUGAAGCUGCAGAGGUGUAAUUCUUUUGUUUUGAUUGCCUGAUGUUUCCUUUCUUUCCUCAUUUGAUAUCCAAGCUGCUGAGGUGACACAUACUAUACUGUUGGAGAAAUUGUUGUGAAGCUUAGCUUGUAUGAGAGUCAUAGAGAAGAUGUCGUGUCUUUCCACACAAUUUUCAGAAUGCUAACUAAAAUAGUUAUACUAGCCAUUUUAUAUUGCCACGGUAGGCCGGAUCGCCCUCUGGUCACUCUGCAUUUGGCGCCUGCCUGCAACAUGAACAGCAACCUUGGUGUACAUCUCAGUCAGGAUCGGAGGAAGAUUUACGCGUACUUGUGUCAUGCCAUUUGUAUUACAGCCCAUUGAUAAUAAUGUUUAAGUCACUAGAGAGAUUGCUCAAUAGAUGAAGUUGGUGUAAAAUUUCUAGUCACCUCCAAAUUAAGCUGCUUGAACAUCAAGUUCGGUAGUAAUCAUCUUUCAAGUUAAGUAGUAUUCAUGUGUAUUACGGAGCUAUCUAUUGAUGUCGCCAAGUGCUUAGGGAAUCAUGGGGGUUGGUUUUGUUCAUCAUUAACCCAUUCUUUCAAAUUUUCAGAGCUAUCUAUUGAAAUAUGAUUACUUUCUUUGUCCGUGGGAACUUUUUACCACUGCCAUGGAUAAGCGUCUAUUUGUUUCCAUCUAAUAUUUAUUUAGUUCCUUCUAAUAUCUAUUUAGUUCCUUGUAACAUGUGGUUGAUGGAUUAUGGAGAUUACCUUUCAUACUAAUGCUUUUCUUUUCAUCUUACAGCUUUUCUUCCUUACAUUUUCCCAUGCAUCUCUCACAAAGAAACAUGACAGAGAAGUCACGAUGAGCUACAAUAUAUGUGUACAUGGAACAGUUCUCCAGGCCCUGGAACCUUUUUCAGUAAUCCUUGCUGAAACUGUAGGGUCAUCCAGAUGUCGAUGUUGCAAAGGCUAACUGGAAAUACAGCAAAAACUGUAGGGUCAUCCGAUGUGGAUUUGGCAACAUCUAAUUGGAAAUAAAAUGUCGGCAGUUUGGCAUGGCCAAACCACUACCCAUCUCACUUAGUUUUCUCUACAGACUAAAUUUCUACGUGCUACUUUGUCAAGCAGUGUAACAAAUUUAUUGUCUCUGUGAUUUAUAUGUGAACUCAGAUCAUC